Molecule: non-coding RNA, 103 nt
Organism: Acanthosepion pharaonis
Lineage: Eukaryota; Metazoa; Mollusca; Cephalopoda; Sepiida; Sepiidae
Source: the annotation of a GenBank genome assembly
GUCAAAUCAUACGGAAAGCACCAGUUCUCCUUUGAUCACCAAAGUUAAGCAGCAUUGAGCUUGGUCAGUACUUAAAUGGGGCACUGUUUGAAAACACUGGGUA